GUCAAUUUAACCUAUCCCACCUAGCAGUCACCACUACAGAUGUUGCCUUUAUGUAUUUUCUCACUUUUCGCCUUUCUAAAUUUUUCUUCCUUCAGUUAUACAAGUUUCAGUCUGUUUUCUUUGUCGAUUUGUACCACUUUUGUAUUCAUCACUUAAAUUCAUCGGUUCUUGAUGUUGUGUCAAUUUUUUUGACAAGAGAAAUUGGAGUUUCGGUUGAAUUUCUCUGCCGCCCAAAGUCUCCGCAGCGUCUAACCACAAAUUAAAGCUAGUAUCUUCUUCUCCAGGUCUAUUUCCGCAAUUAGCUAGAGGAAUAUCUUAUAUUUUUAUUUUAAGGAACUGAAUUAUCAGUUUAUGAAAAUAGAGUUGGCGGUGAUAUCUAAGCCUUUGAAUGCUUCGACAACUUCGUCAAUUGGGUGGUAAAGUGAGUUGCUGUUGAAUUUCAAGAAGAUUAAGAGAAAUAAGAAGAGGUUCUCGGUGAUGAAAGUUAAGUUACGGUGGAGCAAACUGGU
This 509-nucleotide long non-coding RNA is filed under the name Nicotiana tabacum (common tobacco). RNAcentral describes it as "long non-coding RNA (NTAB_LNC012113)". Lineage: Eukaryota; Viridiplantae; Streptophyta; Magnoliopsida; Solanales; Solanaceae. The record is from RNAcentral.